GGAGCAGACAAAUAUUCUCGCUUUUCUUUACUGUUUUUUAAUGCUUUUUACAGUCCCUUAGCUCAGUUGGUUAGAGCGCUACACUGAUAAUGUAGAGGUCCGCAGUUCAAAUCUGCGAGGGACUACAAAUGGGGGAUUAGCUCAGUUGGCUAGAGCGCUUGCCUUGCACGCAAGAGGUCAUCGGUUCGACUCCGAUAUUCUCCACUAUAAAAAGUUCUUUGACAUGUUGUAAUAUCAGGAUCAAAUUUAAGAAGAAUGAAUAUAGUAAUAUAUUCGA
Molecule: transfer RNA, 277 nt
Filed under: uncultured Marinilabiliaceae bacterium
Lineage: Bacteria; Pseudomonadati; Bacteroidota; Bacteroidia; Marinilabiliales; Marinilabiliaceae
Description: 16S-23S ribosomal RNA intergenic spacer
Rfam family: tRNA (bases 52-125)
Source: RNAcentral